GACGAACGCUGGCGGCGUGCUUAACACAUGCAAGUCGAACGGAAAGGCCCUGCUUUUGUGGGGUGCUCGAGUGGCGAACGGGUGAGUAACACGUGAGUAACCUGCCCUUGACUUUGGGAUAACUUCAGGAAACUGGGGCUAAUACCGGAUAGGAGCUCCUGCUGCAUGGUGGGGGUUGGAAAGUUUCGGCGGUUGGGGAUGGACUCGCGGCUUAUCAGCUUGUUGGUGGGGUAGUGGCUUACCAAGGCUUUGACGGGUAGCCGGCCUGAGAGGGUGACCGGCCACAUUGGGACUGAGAUACGGCCCAGACUACUACGGGAGGCAGCAGUGGGGAAGAGUGCACAAUGGGCGGAAGCCUGAUGCAGCAACGCCGCGUGCGGGAUGACGGCCUUCGGGUUGUAAACCGCUUUCGCCUGUGACGAAGCGUGAGUGACGGUAAUGGGUAAAGAAGCACCGGCUAACUACGUG
Molecule: ribosomal RNA, 468 nt
Filed under: uncultured bacterium
Lineage: Bacteria
Description: partial 16S ribosomal RNA
Rfam family: Bacterial small subunit ribosomal RNA
Source: RNAcentral